This 256-nucleotide long non-coding RNA is filed under the name Marmota monax (woodchuck). Lineage: Eukaryota; Metazoa; Chordata; Mammalia; Rodentia; Sciuridae. The record is from RNAcentral.
UGCUAUGACCCAGGUGUGGGAAACUGUGCAACUGUGCCAAGGAAUGCUUUGCAGAAAAAGGAUGAGUGGACUCUUGAAGCACUUAGGAGGCAGCAAGGUUGAGAGUAGAGGAAAACCCUCAAAGGUAAACAUGGGGAAUGAAGAAUGAAGCUGGCUGGCAGUUCUGGGGUCAGCUCUGGGAAGGCCUUCCUGCCACUCUGAGAAUUUGUACAUGGCCUAAAGACCACAAAGAGCCAUUUAGGGAAUUUGAAUAGAC